UGCUUGAUGUCAAAUACGCAGAAACUUUUUAUCAUGGGAAGCACGAUCUUGAUUCUACUUGUUGCUGCGGUCGCAGCUUUGGGAUUUUUCGAACCAAUAGAUAUAAAGAUGACAAAAUAGUAUGGAUAAUUUAUCAUUUUCUGAAAAGGAAUGGAACAUGACUAAUUAAGAGACAAGAGAAGAUAUAUAAGACAGAAUAAUGGAAUAAAUUAAAUAUUGAUUAUGGAUUAUAAAGCAGUUCACGUGAUGAUAUAUACUGUCAAGCACGUUAAAUCUGAUUGAGAACCACUGUUGGUGUAAUAUUCCGGUAUCGAGGUAAAAACACUGAAAAUGAAUUAACUUUUUGUCCGGGCGGCUCGACUCCAGGGCGGCCACGCUCAAGUCACAUUGUCAGAGCCGAGGAAAGAGGUUACACAGGGACUGAUGGAGAAGUUAGAAGAAAAAGAUCUAUAGAGAUCGCCAUUGUAUCUUGUCUACUAUUCGGUGUAUCAUGUGGUGUGUCCUAGGAUACCGGGACAUCGCGAAUUAACUAGCCGUAUUCCCUCGAUGAACAUCGGUUGUGAGUUCAACGACAACGACGAGAUUGUCUGAACGAGAAAAGAACCACUCUUCGCAUCGUCGAGCCUUAAUCGAGGUCGUGCUACCCAUAGUUUUUUCUUUAUAUCGUUGUAUCCCAGAAAAACGGAACGAUUCCUCAUCUCGACGACCCUUCUUCGCUCGACAAUUAUAAGAAAGUCCUAUCUUUUCAUUUAAUUUUAAUCACAUUUUAAAAGAAAUAUUUGUUAUCUUACUCGUAACAUAUUCUUCUUGUUUGUACCAAAAAAAAAAAAAAAAAAAAAAAAAAAAGAAAGAAAAAUUUCGAAAUAAUCACUAGAUUAUUAGAUUUAGAAUAAAUCACUAGAUUCUAGUUUAUAUAUAGAAUUUAUACAAGUUAUUAUAUUCUAACUAAUGUUUUACUUAUCAAUAAUGAAGCUUUGAAUAGA
This is a long non-coding RNA of Vespa mandarinia (Asian giant hornet), 983 nucleotides long. The record is from RefSeq and is a predicted model, not a curated record. Lineage: Eukaryota; Metazoa; Arthropoda; Insecta; Hymenoptera; Vespidae.